Molecule: unclassified non-coding RNA, 213 nt
Filed under: rhizosphere metagenome
Description: partial ribosomal RNA internal transcribed spacer region
Source: RNAcentral
GUAGGUGAACCUGCGGAAGGAUCAUUACUGAGUUCAUGCCCUAACGGGUAGAUCUCCCACCCUUGAAUAUAUAAACCUUUGUUGCUUUGGCGGGCCGCUUCGGCUACCGGCUUCGGCUGGUGAGUGCCCACCAGAGGACCACAACUCUGUAAUAAAUGUCGUCUGAGUACUAUAAAAUAGUUAAAACUUUCAACAACGGAUCUCUUGGUUCUG